Chiloscyllium plagiosum (whitespotted bambooshark) is the source of this 72-nucleotide non-coding RNA. The record is from the annotation of a RefSeq genome assembly. Lineage: Eukaryota; Metazoa; Chordata; Chondrichthyes; Orectolobiformes; Hemiscylliidae.
GCGGUGGUGGUGCAGUGGCGAGCAUAGCUGCUUUCCAAGCAGUUCACCCGGGUUCGAUUCCCGGCCAUCACA